AGAGUUUGAUCAUGGCUCAGGAUGAACGCUAGCGGCAGGCUUAAUACAUGCAAGUCGAGGGGCAGCAUGGUGUAGCAAUACACUGAUGGCGACCGGCAAACGGGUGCGGAACACGUACAGAACCUUCCUUCAAGCGGGGAAUAGCCCAGAGAAAUUUGGAUUAAUACCCCAUAGUAUAUCGAUUAGGCAUCUUUUUGAUAUUAAAGAUUUAUCACUUGAAGAUGGCUGUGCGGCUGAUUAGGUAGUUGGCGGGGUAACGGCCCACCAAGCCUACGAUCAGUAACUGGUGUGAGAGCACGACCAGUCACACGGGCACUGAGACACGGGCCCGACUCCUACGGGAGGCAGCAGUAAGGAAUAUUGGUCAAUGGACGAAAGUCUGAACCAGCCAUGCCGCGUGGAGGAUGAAGGUCCUCUGGAUUGUAAACUUCUUUUAUCUGGGACGAAAAAAGGUCUUUCUAGAUCGUCUGACGGUACCAGAUGAAUAAGCACCGGCUAACUCCGUGCCAGCAGCCGCGGUAAUACGGAGGGUGCAAGCGUUAUCCGGAUUCACUGGGUUUAAAGGGUGCGUAGGUGGGUUGGUAAGUCAGUGGUGAAAUCCCCGAGCUUAACUUGGGAACUGCCAUUGAUACUAUCAGUCUUGAA
This 645-nucleotide ribosomal RNA is filed under the name uncultured bacterium. RNAcentral's name for it is "bacterial SSU rRNA". It matches the Rfam family "Bacterial small subunit ribosomal RNA", at positions 8 to 646 of the family's 1533-position model. The record is from RNAcentral.